Molecule: ribosomal RNA, 468 nt
Filed under: uncultured bacterium
Lineage: Bacteria
Description: partial 16S ribosomal RNA
Rfam family: Bacterial small subunit ribosomal RNA
Source: RNAcentral
GACGAACGCUGGCGGCGUGCUUAACACAUGCAAGUCGAACGGAAAGGCCCCGCUUUUGUGGGGUGCUCGAGUGGCGAGCGGGUGAGUAACACGUGAGUAACCUGCCCUUGACUUUGGGAUAACUUCAGGAAACUGGGGCUAAUACCGGAUAGGAGCUCCUGCUGCAUGGUGGGGGUUGGAAAGUUUCGGCGGUUGGGGAUGGACUCGCGGCUUAUCAGCUUGUUGGUGGGGUAGUGGCUUACCAAGGCGUUGCCGGGUAGCCGGCCUGAGAGGGUGACCGGCCACAAUAGGACUGAGGUACGGCCCAGACGCCUACGGGAGGCAGCGGUGGGGAAUAUUACACAAUGGGCGGAAGCCUGAUGCAGCAACGCCGCGUGCGGGAUAACGGCCUUCGGGUUGUAAACCGCUUUCGCCUGUGACGAAGCGUGAGUGACGGUAAUGAGUAAAGAAGCACCGGCUAACUACGUG